This 492-nucleotide ribosomal RNA is filed under the name uncultured bacterium. Its description in RNAcentral is "partial 16S ribosomal RNA". It matches the Rfam family "Bacterial small subunit ribosomal RNA", at positions 29 to 507 of the family's 1533-position model. The record is from RNAcentral.
AGUGGAUGCUGGCGGUAGGCCUAACACAUGCAAGUCGAACGGCAGCACAGUAAGAGCUUGCUCUUACGGGUGGCGAGUGGCGGACGGGUGAGGAAUACAUCGGAAUCUACUUUUUCGUGGGGGAUAACGUAGGGAAACUUACGCUAAUACCGCAUACGACCUACGGGUGAAAGCAGGGGAUCUUCGGACCUUGCGCGAUUGAAUGAGCCGAUGUCGGAUUAGCUAGUUGGCGGGGUAAAGGCCCACCAAGGCGACGAUCCGUAGCUGGUCUGAGAGGAUGAUCAGCCACACUGGAACUGAGACACGGUCCAGACUCCUACGGGAGGCAGCAGUGGGGAAUAUUGGACAAUGGGCGCAAGCCUGAUCCAGCCAUACCGCGUGGGUGAAGAAGGCCUUCGGGUUGUAAAGCCCUUUUGUUGGGAAAGAAAAGCAGCAGGUUAAUACCCCGCUGUUCUGACGGUACCCAAAGAAUAAGCACCGGCUAACUUCGUG